ACGGAAGGCAGCAGUGGGGAAUAUUGCACAAUGGGCGAAAGCCUGAUGCAGCGACGCCGCGUGAGUGAUGAAGUAUUUCGGUAUGUAAAGCUCUAUCAGCAGGGAAGAUAAUGACGGUACCUGACUAAGAGGCACCGGCUAAAUACGUGCCAGCAGCCGCGGUAAUACGUAUGGUGCAAGCGUUAUCCGGAUUUACUGGGUGUAAAGGGAGCGCAGGCGGUACGGCAAGUCUGAUGUGAAAGCCCGGGGCUCAACCCCGGUACUGCAUUGGAAACUGUCGAACUAGAGUGUCGGAGGGGUAAGUGGAAUUCCUAGUGUAGCGGUGAAAUGCGUAGAUAUUAGGAGGAACACCAGUGGCGAAGGCGACUUACUGGACGAUAACUGACGCUGAGGCUCGAAAGCGUGGGGAGCAAACAGGAUUAGAUACCCUGGUA
RNAcentral lists this ribosomal RNA (434 nucleotides) under uncultured Roseburia sp. RNAcentral's name for it is "partial 16S ribosomal RNA". It matches the Rfam family "Bacterial small subunit ribosomal RNA", at positions 341 to 792 of the family's 1533-position model. Lineage: Bacteria; Bacillati; Bacillota; Clostridia; Lachnospirales; Lachnospiraceae. The record is from RNAcentral.